RNAcentral lists this non-coding RNA (29 nucleotides) under Mus musculus (house mouse). The record is from RNAcentral. Lineage: Eukaryota; Metazoa; Chordata; Mammalia; Rodentia; Muridae.
UCAAUCUGUUUUUCCCAGUUGUGUGUGCU